GACGAACGCUGGCGGCGGGCUUAACACAUGCAAGUCGAACGGAAAGGCCCUGCUUGUGUGGGGUGAUCGAUUGGCGAACGGGUGAGUGAGACGUGAGUAACCGGCCCUUGACUUUGGUAGAGCUUCAGGUAACGGGGGUUAAUACCGGAUAGGAUCCCCUGUUGGGUGGUGGGGGGUGGAUAUUUUCGGCGGUUGGGGAUGGACGCGCGGCUUAUGAGCUUGUUGGUUGGGUAGGGGCUGACCAAGGCUGUGACGGGUAGCCGGCAUGAGAGGGUGACCGGCCACAUUGGGACUGAGAUACGGCCCAGACUCCUACGGUGGGCAGUGGUGGGGAAUAUUGUACAAUGGGCGGGAGCCUGAUGCAGCAACGCCGCGUGCGGGAUGACGGCCUUCGGGUUGAAAACCGCUUUCGCCUGUGACGACGCGUGAGUGACGGUACUGGGUAAAGAAGCACCGGCUAACUACGUG
This 468-nucleotide ribosomal RNA is filed under the name uncultured bacterium. Its description in RNAcentral is "partial 16S ribosomal RNA". It matches the Rfam family "Bacterial small subunit ribosomal RNA", at positions 28 to 507 of the family's 1533-position model. The record is from RNAcentral.